GGAUUGUGGCUUAGCAGUAGAGCGCUCACCUAGCACGUUUGAGGCCCUAGGUUCGAUCCUCAGCGCCA
RNAcentral lists this transfer RNA (68 nucleotides) under Marmota monax (woodchuck). Its description in RNAcentral is "tRNA.Ala". The record is from RNAcentral. Lineage: Eukaryota; Metazoa; Chordata; Mammalia; Rodentia; Sciuridae.